AAUUCUUGGUUCAUUUAGGGGGAAGUAAAAAGUCCGUAACAAGGUUUUCCGUAGGUGAAACCUGCGGAAGGAUCAUUACUGAAUUGUCAACAAGAGUUGUUGCUGGUCCUCCACGGGGGGACAUGUGCACGCUCUGUUCACACAUCCACUCACACCCUGUGCACUCUCUGUAGUUCUGUGGUUGGGGGGCCUGUCCUCCUGCUGUGGUUCUGCAUCUUUACACACACACACUGUAACAAAGUCUCAUGGAAUGCAUAUGCCGCGUUUAACGCAAUACAAUACAACUUUCAGCAACGGAUCUCUUGGCUCUCGCAUCGAUGAAGAACGCAGCGAAAUGCGAUAAGUAAUGUGAAUUGCAGAAUUCAGUGAAUCAUSGAAUCUUUGAACGCACCUUGCGCCCUUUGGACAUUCCGAAGGGCAUGCCUGUUUGAGUAUCAUGAACACCCUCAACUCCUCAUGGUUUUCCAUGAUGAGCUUGGACUUUGGGGGUCUUGCUGGCCUAURGUCAGCUCCUCUAAAAUGAAUCAGCUUGUCAGUGUUUGGUGGGCAUCACAGGUGUGAUAAAUAUCUACGCUCGUGGUUUUCCACCAGGUAACCUUCAGCAGUGGAGGUUCACUGGAGCUCACAGAUGUCUCUCCUCGGUGAGGACGGCUCUUUGAAUGUUUGAUCUCAAAUCAGGUAGGACUWCCCGCUGAACUUAAGCAUAUCAAUAAGCGGAGG
This 720-nucleotide ribosomal RNA is filed under the name uncultured fungus. Its description in RNAcentral is "eukaryotic LSU rRNA". The stretch from base 283 to 437 matches the Rfam family "5.8S ribosomal RNA". Lineage: Eukaryota; Fungi. The record is from RNAcentral.